UGGAUUUUAUCCUCAGCACCACAUAAAAAUAAGUAAAUAAAAUAAAGACAUUGUGUCCAUCUACAACUAAAAAAAACAUCAAAAAGAUAACAAAGACAAACUGAAAAAUUUUCUGCAUCAAAUGACAUUAUCAAAAAAAUCAAUAGGCAGAUUGAGACUGUUGGUCCCUGGAUCUAUUCUACUAUUCCCUGACAUCCAAUCCUUGGCUGGAGAGAACCACAAGGCAACAAUGAUGUCUGCUCUUCAGCGAAGAGAAGUCAUGUGACAUCAAAGACGCUGGUCAAUGUCUUCAAAGAUGUAUAAAAUGGUGUGUAAGCACCUGAAAAAUUCUCUUCAAGAACUUGUAGAUGAAGAAUUGAAGUUUAAGAGUAAACUUAAUUAAGUCAAGCAAAAAAAAAAUUAGGCAUCUUCCUAGUGGAGAUAUUAAAAAAACCUCCAUUAGUGAACAUAUUGCUGAAAUCCUGGUCAACCAUUACGGGUCAAAUUAUGCAGUGGAGGUUGCCAUGAAAGUCCUGAAAAAAUUCACCAGAGACACAUGGCUGAGAUGCUCCUUCACGAAAUCAAAGAAAAUAAAUAUAAAAAUAUUAAGAAAGAAGAGGAUGAUGAUGAGGAAACCCAUGAAGAAUAGUCAAGUGAUGAUGACGUUGAUGACAUGGAUGAUGAUGAUAAUUAAAAAGAAAACAACCUUUCCAACAAAAAUAAAUACUGAAAAUAUUUGCCCUUAAUACUCUUUUAUGGAAUGUGGAGACUAAUAUGAAAUUUAUGUUUUUGAUCCUGAUCUUUAUUUUCUAUUCUUAUUUCUCUAAUAAAACAUUUCUGAGCUAAUUAUGUUUUGUUAGAGUAAAACUUAUAGAAAGAUCAAUAGAGGAAAGGAAGCAGGGUAUGGACAGAUGGAAGGAGAAGAGGAGGUAGUGGGGUCUGAAUUAGAACAAAAUCUAUUCCAUUCUUGCACGGUUAUGUCAAAAUGAACUCUAAUGAGGAGCAUCUCAGCC
This 992-nucleotide long non-coding RNA is filed under the name Marmota monax (woodchuck). The record is from RNAcentral. Lineage: Eukaryota; Metazoa; Chordata; Mammalia; Rodentia; Sciuridae.